UGCAUGUCUAAGUAUAAGCAAUUUAUACAGUGAAACUGCGAAUGGCUCAUUAAAUCAGUUAUCGUUUAUUUGAUAGUACCUUUACUACUUGGAUAACCGUGGUAAUUCUAGAGCUAAUACAUGCUAAAAAUCCCGACUGUUUGGAAGGGAUGUAUUUAUUAGAUAAAAAAUCAAUGCUUUUCGGAGCUCUUUGAUGAUUCAUAAUAACUUUUCGAAUCGCAUGGCCUUGUGCUGGCGAUGGUUCAUUCAAAUUUCUGCCCUAUCAACUUUCGAUGGUAGGAUAGUGGCCUACCAUGGUUUCAACGGGUAACGGGGAAUAAGGGUUCGAUUCCGGAGAGGGAGCCUGAGAAACGGCUACCACAUCCAAGGAAGGCAGCAGGCGCGCAAAUUACCCAAUCCCGACACGGGGAGGUAGUGACAAUAAAUAACGAUACAGGGCCCUUUCGGGUCUUGUAAUUGGAAUGAGUACAAUGUAAAUACCUUAACGAGGAACAAUUGGAGGGCAAGUCUGGUGCCAGCAGCCGCGGUAAUUCCAGCUCCAAUAGCGUAUAUUAAAGUUGUUGCAGUUACAAAAGCUCGUAGUUGAACCUUGGGCUUGGUUGGCCGGUCCGCCUUUUUGGCGAGUACUGGACCCAACCGAGCCUUUCCUUCUGGCUAACCUUUCGCCCUUGUGGUGUUAGGCGAACCAGGACUUUUACUUUGAAAAAAUUAGAGUGUUCAAAGCAGGCCUUUGCUCGAAUAUAUUAGCAUGGAAUAAUAGAAUAGGACGUUAUGGUUCUAUUUUGUUGGUUUCUAGGACCAUCGUAAUGAUUAAUAGGGACGGUCGGGGGCAUCAGUAUUCAGUUGUCAGAGGUGAAAUUCUUGGAUUUACUGAAGACUAACUACUGCGAAAGCAUUUGCCAAGGACGUUUUCAUUAAUCAAGAACGAAAGUUAGGGGAUCGAAGAUGAUCAGAUACACGUCGUAGUCUUAACCAUAAACUAUGCCGACUAGGGAUCGGGUGUUGUUCUUUUUUUGACGCACUCGGCACCUUACGAGA
Molecule: ribosomal RNA, 1038 nt
Filed under: Debaryomyces hansenii
Lineage: Eukaryota; Fungi; Ascomycota; Pichiomycetes; Serinales; Debaryomycetaceae
Description: SSU rRNA
Rfam family: Eukaryotic small subunit ribosomal RNA
Source: RNAcentral